AGAGUUUGAUCAUGGCUCAGAAUCAACGCUGGCGGCGCGCUUAACACAUGCAAGUCGCACGAGAAAGCAGGAGCAAUCUUGUGAGUAAAGUGGCGUACGGGUGAGUAACACGUGGAUCAUCUACCUCUUGGUGGGGAAUAACCCUGGGAAACCGGGGCUAAUACCGCAUAAGCCUGCGAAGGGAAAGCAGCAAUGCGCCGAGAGAGGAGCCCGCGGCCGAUUAGCUAGUUGGCGGGGUAACGGCCCACCAAGGCGAAGAUCGGUAGCCGGCCUGAGAGGGCACACGGCCACACUGGCACUGAAACACGGGCCAGACUCCUACGGGAGGCAGCAGUGGGGAAUCUUGCACAAUGGAGGAAACUCUGAUGCAGCGACGCCGCGUGAGCGAUGAAGCCCCUCGGGGUGUAAAGCUCUUUCGACGGGAAAGAUAAUGACGGUACCCGAAGAAGAAGCUGCGGCUAACUACGUGCCAGCAGCCGCGGUAAUACGUAGGCAGCAAGCGUUGUUCGGAAUUACUGGGCGUAAAGAGUGUGUAGGCGGUGUUCUAAGUCUGUUGUGAAAUCUCCCGGCUUAACUGGGAGGGUGCGGCGGAGACUGGAAUGCUAGAGUGUGGGAGAGGUAAGCGGAAUUCCUGGUGUAGCGGUGAAAUGCGUAGAUAUCAGGAGGAACACCUGUGGUGUAGACAGCUUACUGGACCACGACUGACGCUGAGACACGAAAGCGUGGGUAGCAAACAGGAUUAGAUACCCUAGUAGUCC
RNAcentral lists this ribosomal RNA (758 nucleotides) under uncultured bacterium. Its description in RNAcentral is "bacterial SSU rRNA". It matches the Rfam family "Bacterial small subunit ribosomal RNA", at positions 8 to 796 of the family's 1533-position model. The record is from RNAcentral.